UUCCUGCUGGGGGGUAGGGGACUCAAUGUCUUUCACCCUACAAGCAUCAAUCCAGGGACCUGUCCCUCGCGAUGGUGUGCAUGCCGUUCCUUCGGGAUUCGGAAGCCUGAAGUCGCGAAAUGGGGCCCACGUUAAUCUCUGGGUUGAAAGGCUAGAAUCCCGAGCCUCGGCAGGAAC
Molecule: non-coding RNA, 177 nt
Filed under: Bdellovibrionales bacterium
Lineage: Bacteria; Pseudomonadati; Bdellovibrionota; Bdellovibrionia; Bdellovibrionales
Description: 6S RNA
Rfam family: 6S / SsrS RNA
About the family: E. coli 6S RNA was the first non coding RNA to be sequenced, but its function was unknown until recently. It consists of 184 nucleotides that fold into an extended hairpin structure with a large single-stranded internal bulge.
Source: RNAcentral